AAAUCGCCGCAAGACCAAAGUGGGGGACCUUCGGGCCUCAUGCCAUCAGAUGUGCCCAGAUGGGAUUAGCUAGUAGGUGGGGUAACGGCUCACCUAGGCGACGAUCCCUAGCUGGUCUGAGAGGAUGACCAGCCACACUGGAACUGAGACACGGUCCAGACUCCUACGGGAGGCAGCAGUGGGGAAUAUUGCACAAUGGGCGCAAGCCUGAUGCAGCCAUGCCGCGUGUGUGAAGAAGGCCUUCGGGUUGUAAAGCACUUUCAGCGGGGAGGAAGGCGAUAAGGUUAAUAACCUUGUCGAUUGACGUUACCCGCAGAAGAAGCACCGGCUAACUCCGUGCCAGCAGCCGCGGUAAUACGGAGGGUGCAAGCGUUAAUCGGAAUUACUGGGCGUAAAGCGCACGCAGGCGGUCUGUCAAGUCGGAUGUGAAAUCCCCGGGCUCAACCUGGGAACUGCAUUCGAAACUGGCAGGCUAGAGUCUUGUAGAGGGGGGUAGAAUUCCAGGUGUAGCGGUGAAAUGCGUAGAGAUCUGGAGGAAUACCGGUGGCGAAGGCGGCCCCCUGGACAAAGACUGACGCUCAGGUGCGAAAGCGUGAGAGCAAACAGGAUUAGAUACCCUGGUAGUCCACGCCGUAAACGAUGUCGAUUUGGAGGUUGUGCCCUUGAGGCGUGGCUUCCGGAGCUAACGCGUUAAAUCGACCGCCUGGGGAGUACGGCCGCAAGUAAAACUCAAAUGAAUUGACGGGGGCCCGCACAAGCGGUGGAGCAUGUGUUUAAUUCGAUGCAACGCGAAGAACCUUACCUGGUCUUG
RNAcentral lists this ribosomal RNA (811 nucleotides) under Klebsiella sp. SGM 81. Its description in RNAcentral is "bacterial SSU rRNA". It matches the Rfam family "Bacterial small subunit ribosomal RNA", at positions 188 to 983 of the family's 1533-position model. The record is from RNAcentral. Lineage: Bacteria; Pseudomonadati; Pseudomonadota; Gammaproteobacteria; Enterobacterales; Enterobacteriaceae.